UACGUAGGGUGCAAGCGUUAAUCGGAAUUACUGGGCGUAAAGCGUGCGCAGGCGGUUCGUUAUGUCCGAUGUGAAAGCCCCGAGCUUAACUUGGGAACGGCAUUGGAAACUGGCGGGCUGGAGUGCGGCAGAGGGGGGUGGAAUUCCACGUGUAGCAGUGAAAUGCGUAGAUAUGCGGAGGAACACCGAUGGCGAAGGCAAUCCCCUGGGCCUGCACUGACGCUCAUGCACGAAAGCGUGGGGAGCAAACAGG
This 253-nucleotide ribosomal RNA is filed under the name uncultured bacterium. RNAcentral's name for it is "partial 16S ribosomal RNA". It matches the Rfam family "Bacterial small subunit ribosomal RNA", at positions 524 to 776 of the family's 1533-position model. The record is from RNAcentral.